GACGAACGCUGGCGGCGUGCCUAAUACAUGCAAGUUGAGCGCUGAAGGUUGGUACUUGUACCAACUGGAUGAGCAGCGAACGGGUGAGUAACGCGUGGGGAAUCUGCCUUUGAGCGGGGGACAACAUUUGGAAACGAAUGCUAAUACCGCAUAAAAACUUUAAACACAAGUUUUAAGUUUGAAAGAUGCAAUUGCAUCACUCAAAGAUGAUCCCGCGUUGUAUUAGCUAGUUGGUGAGGUAAAGGCUCACCAAGGCGAUGAUACAUAGCCGACCUGAGAGGGUGAUCGGCCACAUUGGGACUGAGACACGGCCCAAACUCCUACGGGAGGCAGCAGUAGGGAAUCGUCGGCAAUGGACGAAAGUCUGACCGAGCAACGCCGCGUGAGUGAAGAAGGUGUUCGGAUCGUAAAACUCUGUUGGUAGAGAAGAACGUUGGUGAGAGUGGAAAGCUCAUCAAGUGACGGUAACUACCCAGAAAGGGACGGCUAACUACGUG
Molecule: ribosomal RNA, 497 nt
Filed under: uncultured bacterium
Lineage: Bacteria
Description: partial 16S ribosomal RNA
Rfam family: Bacterial small subunit ribosomal RNA
Source: RNAcentral